Molecule: transfer RNA, 150 nt
Filed under: Eutypa lata UCREL1
Lineage: Eukaryota; Fungi; Ascomycota; Sordariomycetes; Xylariales; Diatrypaceae
Description: tRNA-Leu (TAG) (tRNA-Leu-TAG-1-1)
Rfam family: tRNA
About the family: Transfer RNA (tRNA) molecules are approximately 80 nucleotides in length. Their secondary structure includes four short double-helical elements and three loops (D, anti-codon, and T loops).
Source: RNAcentral
GCGUGUUUGGCCGAGAGGUAAAUUUUCACCCCCUGGAUUAAUUCGGCCUACGAGCCGUCGAGAUUCAUAUGUACUAACUCUACUAUAGGUUAAGGCGCUGUGUUUAGGCCGCAGUGGGAAACCGCGCAGGUUCGAAUCCUGCAGCACGCA